GACGAACGCUGGCGGCGUGCUUAACACAUGCAAGUCGAACGGUGAAGCGCCUUCCUUUUUGGUGGGUGUGGAUGAGUGGCGAACGGGUGAGUAACACGUGAGUAACCUGCCCCCUUCUUCUGGAUAACCGCAUGAAAGUGUGGCUAAUACGGGAUAUUCUGGGUCUGUCGCAUGAUGGGUCUGGGAAAGAUAUUGUUUCGGUGGGGGAUGGGCUCGCGGCCUAUCAGCUUGUUGGUGGGGUGAUGGCCUACCAAGGCGGUGACGGGUAGCCGGCCUGAGAGGGUGGACGGUCACACUGGGACUGAGACACGGCCCAGACUCCUACGGGGGGCAGCAGGGGGGAAUAUUGCACAAUGGGCGCAAGCCUGAUGCAGCGACGCCGCGUGAGGGAUGGAGGCCUGCGGGUUGUGAACCUCUUUCGCCAGUGAAGCAGGCCUGCCUCGUUUGUGGGUGGGUUGACGGUAGCUGGAGAAGAAGCGCCGGCUAACUACGUG
Molecule: ribosomal RNA, 494 nt
Filed under: uncultured bacterium
Lineage: Bacteria
Description: partial 16S ribosomal RNA
Rfam family: Bacterial small subunit ribosomal RNA
Source: RNAcentral